This 255-nucleotide long non-coding RNA is filed under the name Betta splendens (Siamese fighting fish). RNAcentral describes it as "lncRNA (ENSBSLG00000013504.1)". The record is from RNAcentral. Lineage: Eukaryota; Metazoa; Chordata; Actinopteri; Anabantiformes; Osphronemidae.
UGUGAAUAUUUUCUUUCUGCCUUCCAUAAAGUAAGGCUCCAUGUUUUGGUUUUGUUUUGCCAUCGUUUCCUCUCUGCCUCCUCCUCACAUCCUACCGCACCACCCUCCGACUCCUUCUGUCCUUCUCUGGAGGAAUGAGUGAAUGGAGGAAUUCAAUAGGGAUGACCUUUCACCUUAUCAGGUAGUAAAACUGGCAACCCUACAGAUAUUGAAAAACAGUUGUGAAAAUGUUGUAUAAAUUACUCCAAAUAUAAC